GACGAACGCUGGCGGCGUGCUCAACACAUGCAAGUCGAACGGAAAGGCCCUGCUUUUGUGGGGUGCUCGAGUGGCGAACGGGUGAGUAACAUGUGAGUAACCUGCCCUUGACUUUGGGAUAACUUCAGGAAACUGGGGCUAAUACCGGAUAGGAGCUCCUGCUGCAUGGUGGGGGUUGGAAAGUUUCGGCGGUUGGGGAUGGACUCGCGGCUUAUCAGCUUGUUGGUGGGGUAGUGGCUUACCAAGGCUUUGACGGGUAGCCGGCCUGAGAGGGUGACCGGCCACAUUGGGACUGAGAUACGGCCCAGACUCCUACGGGAGGCAGCAGUGGGGAAUAUUGCACAAUGGGCGGAAGCCUGAUGCAGCAACGCCGCGUGCGGGAUGACGGCCUUCGGGUUGUAAACCGCUUUCGCCUGUGACGAAGCGUGAGUGACGGUAAUGGGUAAAGAAGCACCGGCUAACUACGUG
This 468-nucleotide ribosomal RNA is filed under the name uncultured bacterium. RNAcentral describes it as "partial 16S ribosomal RNA". It matches the Rfam family "Bacterial small subunit ribosomal RNA", at positions 28 to 507 of the family's 1533-position model. The record is from RNAcentral.